CCUACGGGAGGCAGCAGUGAGGAAUAUUGGUCAAUGGGCGCAAGCCUGAACCAGCCAUGCCGCGUGCAGGAUGACUGCCCUACGGGUUGUAAACUUCUUUUAUACAGGAAUAAAUUGAGGCACGUGUGCCUUUUUGUAUGUACUUUAUGAAUAAGGAUCGGCUAACUCCGUGCCAGCAGCCGCGGUAAUACGGAGGAUUCGAGCGUUAUCCGGAUUUAUUGGGUUUAAAGGGAGCGUAGGUGGGUUGUUAAGUUAGUGGUGAAAGGUUGCGGCUCAACCGUGACAUUGCAUUUGAUACUGGCAGGCUAGAGGUCAGUUGAGGUAGGCGGAAUGCGUGGUGUAGCGGUGAAAUGCUUAGAGAUCACGAAGAACACCGAUUGCGAAGGCAGCCUACUAAACUGCCACUGACAUUGAGGCACGAAAGUGUGGGGAGCAAACAGGAUUAGAUACCCGAGUAGUC
Molecule: ribosomal RNA, 460 nt
Filed under: uncultured bacterium
Lineage: Bacteria
Description: partial 16S ribosomal RNA
Rfam family: Bacterial small subunit ribosomal RNA
Source: RNAcentral